UGUGUCAGUAGGUGGAAGAGAGGAGAUAGGCUAUGCCUACACUCGGUAUUCUGACUCAUGAACAUCUGGAUUAUUGGUAGCUUAACAUU
Non-coding RNA from Mus musculus (house mouse), 89 nucleotides. NCBI's taxonomy places the organism in Eukaryota, Metazoa, Chordata, Mammalia, Rodentia, Muridae. The record is from Rfam.